RNAcentral lists this ribosomal RNA (549 nucleotides) under uncultured Clostridium sp. RNAcentral describes it as "bacterial SSU rRNA". It matches the Rfam family "Bacterial small subunit ribosomal RNA", at positions 28 to 588 of the family's 1533-position model. The record is from RNAcentral. Lineage: Bacteria; Bacillati; Bacillota; Clostridia; Eubacteriales; Clostridiaceae.
GACGAACGCUGGCGGCGUGCUUAACACAUGCAAGUCGAACGGAAAGGCCCUGCUUUUGUGGGGUGCUCGAGUGGCGAACGGGUGAGUAACACGUGAGUAACCUGCCCUUGACUUUGGGAUAACUUCAGGAAACUGGGGCUAAUACCGGAUAGGAGCUCCUGCUGCAUGGUGGGGGUUGGAAAGUUUCGGCGGUUGGGGAUGGACUCGCGGCUUAUCAGCUUGUUGGUGGGGUAGUGGCUUACCAAGGCUUUGACGGGUAGCCGGCCUGAGAGGGUGACCGGCCACAUUGGGACUGAGAUACGGCCCAGACUCCUACGGGAGGCAGCAGUGGGGAAUAUUGCACAAUGGGCGGAAGCCUGAUGCAGCAACGCCGCGUGCGGGAUGACGGCCUUCGGGUUGUAAACCGCUUUCGCCUGUGACGAAGCGUGAGUGACGGUAAUGGGUAAAGAAGCACCGGCUAACUACGUGCCAGCAGCCGCGGUGAUACGUAGGGUGCGAGCGUUGUCCGGAUUUAUUGGGCGUAAAGGGCUCGUAGGUGGUUGAUCGCGU